Molecule: ribosomal RNA, 754 nt
Filed under: uncultured bacterium
Lineage: Bacteria
Description: bacterial SSU rRNA
Rfam family: Bacterial small subunit ribosomal RNA
Source: RNAcentral
CAGUCGAGGGGUAUAGUAGCAAUACUAGAGACCGGCGCACGGGUGCGUAACGCGUAUGCAAUCUACCUUUUACAGAGGGAUAGCCCAGAGAAAUUUGGAUUAAUACCUCAUAGUAUAACGAGUUCGCAUGAAUUUGUUAUUAAAGUCACAACGGUAAAAGAUGAGCAUGCGUCCCAUUAGCUAGUUGGUAAGGUAACGGCUUACCAAGGCUACGAUGGGUAGGGGUCCUGAGAGGGAGAUCCCCCACACUGGUACUGAGACACGGACCAGACUCCUACGGGAGGCAGCAGUGAGGAAUAUUGGUCAAUGGGCGCAAGCCUGAACCAGCCAUGCCGCGUGCAGGAUGACGGUCCUAUGGAUUGUAAACUGCUUUUGCACAGGAAGAAACACUACCUCGUGAGGUAGCUUGACGGUACUGUGAGAAUAAGGAUCGGCUAACUCCGUGCCAGCAGCCGCGGUAAUACGGAGGAUCCAAGCGUUAUCCGGAAUCAUUGGGUUUAAAGGGUCCGUAGGCGGUCUAAUAAGUCAGUGGUGAAAGCCCUACGCUCAACGUAGGAACGGCCAUUGAUACUGUUAGACUUGAAUUACUUGGAAGUAACUAGAAUAUGUAGUGUAGCGGUGAAAUGCUUAGAGAUUACAUGGAAUACCAAUUGCGAAGGCAGGUUACUACAAGUGGAUUGACGCUGAUGGACGAAAGCGUGGGUAGCGAACAGGAUUAGAUACCCCUGGUAGUCCACGCCGUAAACGAUGGAUA